RNAcentral lists this ribosomal RNA (1007 nucleotides) under uncultured bacterium. RNAcentral's name for it is "bacterial SSU rRNA". It matches the Rfam family "Bacterial small subunit ribosomal RNA", at positions 335 to 1341 of the family's 1533-position model. The record is from RNAcentral.
ACUCCUACGGGAGGCAGCAGUGGGGAAUUUUGGACAAUGGGCGCAAGCCUGAUCCAGCAAUGCCGCGUGAGUGAAGAAGGCCUUCGGGUGUAAAGCUCUUUUGUCAGGGAAGAAACGGGUGAGGCUAAUAUCCUUGCCUAAUGACGGUACCUGAAGAAUAAGCACCGGCUAACUACGUGCCAGCAGCCGCGGUAAUACGUAGGGUGCAAGCGUUAAUCGGAAUUACUGGGCGUAAAGCGUGCGCAGGCGGUUGUGCAAGACAGAUGUGAAAUCCCCGGGCUCAACCUGGGAAUUGCAUUUGUGACUGCACGGCUAGAGUGUGUCAGAGGGGGGUAGAAUUCCACGUGUAGCAGUGAAAUGCGUAGAUAUGUGGAGGAAUACCGAUGGCGAAGGCAGCCCCCUGGGAUAACACUGACGCUCAUGCACGAAAGCGUGGGGAGCAAACAGGAUUAGAUACCCUGGUAGUCCACGCCCUAAACGAUGUCUACUAGUUGUCGGGUCUUAAUUGACUUGGUAACGCAGCUAACGCGUGAAGUAGACCGCCUGGGGAGUACGGUCGCAAGAUUAAAACUCAAAGGAAUUGACGGGGACCCGCACAAGCGGUGGAUGAUGUGGAUUAAUUCGAUGCAACGCGAAAAACCUUACCUACCCUUGACAUGUACGGAAGUCCGAAGAGAUUUGGAUGUGCUCGAAAGAGAACCGUAACACAGGUGCUGCAUGGCUGUCGUCAGCUCGUGUCGUGAGAUGUUGGGUUAAGUCCCGCAACGAGCGCAACCCUUGUCAUUAGUUGCUACGAAAGGGCACUCUAAUGAGACUGCCGGUGACAAACCGGAGGAAGGUGGGGAUGACGUCAAGUCCUCAUGGCCCUUAUGGGUAGGGCUUCACACGUCAUACAAUGGUACAUACAGAGGGCCGCCAACCCGCGAGGGGGAGCUAAUCCCAGAAAGUGUAUCGUAGUCCGGAUUGUAGUCUGCAACUCGACUACAUGAAGUUGGAAUCGCUAGUAA